RNAcentral lists this ribosomal RNA (465 nucleotides) under Vreelandella stevensii. RNAcentral's name for it is "partial 16S ribosomal RNA". It matches the Rfam family "Bacterial small subunit ribosomal RNA", at positions 338 to 795 of the family's 1533-position model. The record is from RNAcentral. Lineage: Bacteria; Pseudomonadati; Pseudomonadota; Gammaproteobacteria; Oceanospirillales; Halomonadaceae.
CCUACGGGGGGCUGCAGUGGGGAGUAUUGGACAAUGGGGGGAACCCUGAUCCAGCCAUGCCGCGUGUGUGAAGAAGGCCCUCGGGUUGUAAAGCACUUUCAGUGAGGAAGAACGCCUGGUGGUUAAUACCCAUCAGGAAAGACAUCACUCACAGAAGAAGCACCGGCUAACUCCGUGCCAGCAGCCGCGGUAAUACGGAGGGUGCGAGCGUUAAUCGGAAUUACUGGGCGUAAAGCGCGCGUAGGUGGCUUGAUAAGCCGGUUGUGAAAGCCCCGGGCUCAACCUGGGAACGGCAUCCGGAACUGUCAAGCUAGAGUGCAGGAGAGGAAGGUAGAAUUCACGGUGUAGCGGUGAAAUGCGUAGAGAUCGGGAGGAAUACCAGUGGCGAAGGCGGCCUUCUGGACUGACACUGACACUGAGGUGCGAAAGCGUGGGUAGCAAACAGGAUUAGAUACCCCUGUAGUC